RNAcentral lists this long non-coding RNA (199 nucleotides) under Gossypium raimondii (Peruvian cotton). RNAcentral describes it as "long non-coding RNA (GRAI_LNC002887)". Lineage: Eukaryota; Viridiplantae; Streptophyta; Magnoliopsida; Malvales; Malvaceae. The record is from RNAcentral.
UAAAUAUGGUUCUAUGAUUGAUGACAUUUUGGCAUUUUUGGGCUUGAUGACAUAUGUUGAAAUGGUUUAGUGAUGAUACGUUUUGAAUGGCCAAAUUGCUAUGCUUGUGUGAUAUUGAAAUGUAAUGUUGCUGUGAGUUUGUGAAAUUAAUGAUAUUUGAUGCCUUGAUGGUUGGUGUGCUUUUGACACUUUGAUGUUU